UGCUAAUUCAUUUUUGAUGGGCACGUCAAUUAACGUUUGACAGUCGUAAACGCGCUAAAUUGGAGGUAAAAACGCCAAGGAGCACUCCAUGUAACAGAAAAUCAAGCUUUAAAAAAUCCAUAAUUCUAAUUACAAUUUCAAAUCCGCUAUACAGCAGUACAGUUUGAAUCGUAAAUGUAAUGGCUUAUUUUAUUGGUAGUUAAAGUUUGUUGACUGAAGUAUUGAUGAAGGUAAAAACUGCUGGUUACUAUUUCUGAAUUGUUCUUUUUGGUAAUCAUAUUUUAUGACCACCACGUGUAACCGGCGUAUAACUAUAUAUAAUCAGUUCGGUUUUAUCAGAGAAAUCGUCGAACCUUUAACAAAAAUGUACCACAAGUUGUUGGUCUCUGUUGUGGUUGUGGUCGCAAUUUUUACCAGUGUUUGCGAAACCAAACCCGGUAGAGAAAUAUGCUAUCUUCCUCUAAUCACAACUGCCUGUACCACGAUAUUUCGCGAACUCAGCUUUUGGUACGAUGCUGAGCUAGUUAAUUGUUUGCCAAUUCCAUUUGGACAAUGUAGUGCCAAUGAGAAUAAGAAUGCUUUUCGGUCGUACGAAGAUUGCGUGAAUUUUUGUAUUCGUAAAGAUUGGCUUUUUUAAUGCUUUAUUUACAAAAUAAAUAAAAAAUACUUGUCUAAUCAUG
Molecule: long non-coding RNA, 680 nt
Organism: Tribolium castaneum (red flour beetle)
Lineage: Eukaryota; Metazoa; Arthropoda; Insecta; Coleoptera; Tenebrionidae
Exons: 2
Source: RefSeq, a predicted model, not a curated record